ACAUAGGUUUUUGCAUUUUGAUGCAAGAUUAAAAGGGAAUUCAGUGAGAAUCUGAAGCAGUCCGAACCUCUACUGUAUUUGCAGACGAAAAAUCUAAGCGCAGCCAUUGCUCUUUUGAGUGAGAAGGCAGAUUUUGAGGAUGAAGCAUAAGUCAGGAGACCUGCCAUGUACAUU
This 174-nucleotide non-coding RNA is filed under the name uncultured Eubacterium sp. Lineage: Bacteria; Bacillati; Bacillota; Clostridia; Eubacteriales; Eubacteriaceae. The record is from RNAcentral.